RNAcentral lists this ribosomal RNA (338 nucleotides) under uncultured bacterium. Its description in RNAcentral is "bacterial SSU rRNA". It matches the Rfam family "Bacterial small subunit ribosomal RNA", at positions 1 to 334 of the family's 1533-position model. The record is from RNAcentral.
ACAGAUCGUUCAGAGUUUGAUCCUGGCUCAGGACGAACGCUGGCGGCGUGCCUAACACAUGCAAGUCGAACGGGGUAGAAAGCUUCGGUUUUCUACUUAGUGGCGAACGGGUGAGUAACGCGUGAGAAACCUGCCUUUCAGUGGGGGACAACAGUUGGAAACGACUGCUAAUACCGCAUAAUGUUAUUUGAGGGCAUCCUCGAAUAACCAAAGAUUUAUUGCUGAAAGAUGGUCUCGCGUCUGAUUAGCUAGAUGGCGGGGUAACGGCCCACCAUGGCGACGAUCAGUAGCCGGUCUGAGAGGAUGAACGGCCACAUUGGGACUGAGAUACGGCCCAG